Molecule: ribosomal RNA, 872 nt
Filed under: Bacillus cereus
Lineage: Bacteria; Bacillati; Bacillota; Bacilli; Caryophanales; Bacillaceae
Description: bacterial SSU rRNA
Rfam family: Bacterial small subunit ribosomal RNA (bases 6-528)
Source: RNAcentral
AGGGGCGCUUGUCCGUUCCUUCAUAACCUUAAGUCGAGCGAUUGGAUUACGAGCUUGCUCUUAUGAAGUUAGCGGCGGACGGGUGAGUAACACGUGGGUAACCUGCCCAUAAGACUGGGAUAACUCCGGGAAACCGGGGCUAAUACCGGAUAACAUUUUGAACCGGAUGGUUCCAAAUUGAAAGGCGGCUUCGGCUGUCACUUAUGGAUGGACCCGCGUCGCAUUAACUAGUUGGUGAGGUAACGGCUCACCAAGGCAACGAUGCGUAGACCACCUGAGAGGGUGAUCGGCCACACUGGGACUGAGACACGGCCCAGACUCCUACGAGAGGCAGCAGUAGGGAAUCUUCCUCAAUGGACGAAAGUCUGACGGAGCAACGCCCCGUGAGUGAUGAAGGCUUUCGGGUCGUAAACUCUGUUGUGAGGCAAGAACAAGUGCUAGUUGAAUAAGCUGGCACCUUGACGGUACCUAACAGAAUGCCACGGCCACUACGAUGCAGCAGCCGCAGUAAUACGUAGGAGUCAUGCGUAUCAGCAUUUCGGGCGUAAUCGCGCGCAGGGGUUUACUUCCGUCUGAUGUCAAGGCCACUGCCUUAGCGAUGAGGUCUUGGUACCUGGGAGACUGAGUGAUACAGGUACGGAAUUCCUGUGUAAUCGUGGGAUGCCUAAAUUGGAGGAACCCUGGCAUGCAACUCUCUGUCUGACUGACUGGAGCCAAGCUGGAACAAAGAUCAAUCUUGGAUCACCGUUAAAGUAUGUAAUGUUAAGAUCCCCUUAAGUCCACUCACGAUACCCCUGGAUCCGCCAGUUGAACCAGAAUUCGGCCGCAUUGGACGGUUUAUUCAACCCGACUACGUUAUCUGGAACUAAAGC